Molecule: non-coding RNA, 118 nt
Organism: Picea glauca (white spruce)
Lineage: Eukaryota; Viridiplantae; Streptophyta; Pinopsida; Pinales; Pinaceae
Source: Rfam
AUGUACAUUCCUACAACGUUAAUGCACCAGAUCCUAUCAGAACUCUACAGUUAAGCAUGCUUGGGAUAGAGUAGUACUGGGAUGGGUGACCUCUCGGGAACUCCUAGUGUCUUACAUG